Long non-coding RNA from Neogale vison (American mink), 619 nucleotides. RefSeq lists it as uncharacterized. The transcript is spliced from 5 exons. NCBI's taxonomy places the organism in Eukaryota, Metazoa, Chordata, Mammalia, Carnivora, Mustelidae. The record is from RefSeq and is a predicted model, not a curated record.
CGUUCGGUCGGGCAGCCCUGCUGGGGGUCCUCGCCGGGAGGCUGCGGACCUAGCCGGUCGCGGACGCCGGGAGUGUGAGGUCCGCGAGGGGACGGCGCAGCUAGUGCCUGGCACGUGGUUGGUGGCCAGUGCUUGCCCAAGAUUCAGACUCACGGGAGUGGGACGCUGCUUUAAAGAAAGGAAGGAGUGAGAGAAGGAAGAUUGGGAAGAACAGAGAAGGGAGAGGGAGAUGAGGGAAGAGGCCAAGGAUAUGGAUUUCCAGAGAGCUACGAAGAUGAAGUCAUUGUCACCAGCUGGCUCAGUCAGUGGAGCAUGUGACUCUUGAUCUUGACGUUCUUAUCUCCUAACUCAGGCCAAAGACCCUUCGGGCAAAGCAUCCCUCACAGGAACUGAAACUACCCCUCAAGCAAAAAGAACUGCCCUGAGCCAGCAAGACAGGGAUGGGGACUGACCCCAAGACCUGUGGACGUGACCUUCCCUGCCCACCUGCCCGUACUCACCGACCUUUGUCCCACAGUUCCCUCUUACAAACCUGGAAGUAUUUUCAGCACUUUGGAGAUGGUCUUUGAGAAGCUAGUGUGCUGUCUUCCAGGUGUCCGCCUCUGUGAAAUAAAUUCCU